UGGUGCCUAGGGAGGCAGCAGUAGGGAAUCUUCCACAAUGGACGAAAGUCUGAUGGAGCGACGCCGCGUAAGUGAAGAAGGGUUUCGGCUCGUAAAGCUCUGUUGGUAGGGAAGAAAGAUAGAGGGAGUAACUGGCCUUUAUUUGACGGUAAUUACUUAGAAAGUCACGGCUAACUACGUGCCAGCAGCCGCGGUAAUACGUAGGUGGCAAGAGUUGUCCGGAUUUAUUGGGCGUAAAGCGAGUGCAGGCGGUGUAA
Molecule: ribosomal RNA, 257 nt
Filed under: uncultured bacterium
Lineage: Bacteria
Description: partial 16S ribosomal RNA
Rfam family: Bacterial small subunit ribosomal RNA
Source: RNAcentral